Molecule: ribosomal RNA, 500 nt
Filed under: uncultured Glomeromycotina
Lineage: Eukaryota; Fungi; Glomeromycota
Description: partial small subunit ribosomal RNA
Rfam family: Eukaryotic small subunit ribosomal RNA
Source: RNAcentral
CCAAUAGCGUAUAUUAAAGUUGUUGCAGUUAAAAAGCUCGUAGUUGAAUUUCGGGAUCAUCAGGUUGGUCGUGCCUCUGGUAUGUACCGAUUUCGAUGGUUCCUCCUUCUUGAAGAUCCGUAAUGCCAUUAAUUUGGUGUUGCGGGGAAUCAGGACUGUUACUUUGAAAAAAUUAGAGUGUUUAAAGCAGGCAAUCGCUUGAAUACAUUAGCAUGGAAUAAUGAAAUAGGACGUUCGAUCCUAUUUUGUUGGUUUCUAGGAUUGACGUAAUGAUUAAUAGGGAUAGUUGGGGGCAUUAGUAUUCAAUUGUCAGAGGUGAAAUUCUUGGAUUUAUUGCAGACUAACUACUGCGAAAGCACUUGCCAAGGAUGUUUUCAUUAAUCAAGAACGAAAGUUAGGGGAUCGAAGACGAUCAGAUACCGUCGUAGUCUUAACCAUAAACUAUGCCGACUAGGGAUCGGAUGAUGUUAAUUUUUUAAUGACUCAUUCGGCGCCUUACG